Macaca fascicularis (crab-eating macaque) is the source of this 148-nucleotide unclassified non-coding RNA. It matches the Rfam family "Metazoan signal recognition particle RNA". Rfam says of the family: The signal recognition particle (SRP) is a universally conserved ribonucleoprotein. The record is from Ensembl. Lineage: Eukaryota; Metazoa; Chordata; Mammalia; Primates; Cercopithecidae.
GCUGGGUGUGGUGGCGCACACCUGUAGUCCCAGCUACUUGGGAGGCUGAGGCAGGAGAAUCACUUGAACCCGGGAGGCGGAGCUUGCAGUGAGCCGAGAUUGCGCCACUGCACUCCAGCCUGGGUGACAGAGCGAGACUCUGUCUCAA